CACGGCUCGUUGGCCGAGGCCACCUAUACUCGCAGUUCACAUGGUCUGAGCCCAGUGGUCCGGGUAAAGCGACCACCGCCAGUGAGCCCAACUGAAUUGUCCUCACCCCUCGGGGCGCCAGCGUUGGCGUGUGUCGCCGGCGAGCGCCCCCAGCUCGAUCAGCCGUCGCCCUGGGCCCUGGCGCUGCCCCCGUCGCCCCGCCUCGUGCCCCCGGUGCCAAACUUCGCUGUAUUCCACCGGAGGAGGAUCUAGGGGAGGCCACAGGGGAGGCUUCGACACCAAUAUUUAUUAGAUAGAAAACUUAUAUACAAGACAGGAGGGGAGUAUACAUCAAGAGAGGAAGGGGAAUAACAGUAUAUGAUGUAAUCAAGCCAGGUCCUGAGAUGUGCCGUAAGCACAUCUUCCAUUCUAUAAGAGAGAAGUAGAUGUCCUUUUGAAUAGAAAAGUUCAGGAAACUAAGUUAGGAUUGAUAUGGUCAAAAUGUUUGGCGUUUCUCAGGUUCCAGAUGUUUGAGGCAUUUCGCAAUGAAGACUUCCAUGAAGGGCUUGUGAAACGAGAUUGUGGCCUCUCUUAGAGAUGGUCCGAGUCUGAGCUGGUAUUUGGAGAAGCCCAAUGGAAUUCCAGCAAGAGUUGCUGAAAGGGAAACCUGCAAAGCGAUGAUCAGUGUUUAGUGGUCUCAAGGCUGCCGGAGCUGCAGAGUACAGAGUCGUAGUAGUUAGUGACAUGAAUUUGCUGUUGAUACUUUUACUUUGAAGUCCAUAUCCAGGAAAUGGAGUCAGGGGCUUGGAAAUGCUGGAAAACCAAGGCCAGAUGGCAACAUUGGGAAGUAUAGUGAUAAAGUUGAGUUCACUAGAUGGCAAAGAUAAUAUUUUGCAGUUCAUACUCCAUGAUCCCAUCCAAGAGACGACUGUCUAUGGGUGUGUUUUUCUCCCAGGUCAGUAUGCAAGCAGCAUAUCUUUGGUCUACUUAAUCCAUAAUUUGUGCAUCGCCAUCUUGCUAACGAGGGAACAAGAACUAUGUCAAAACAGGACAGAUAACCACCAUUUCUUUCAAAUUAGCUUUUAGGUUUGGCAAAUGAAAAGCUUUCCUGCCCUCGAAUAAUCCUGUGUAUGUAUGAAUAGUGCCAAGAGAAUGUCAUCAAGAUUUUUUUAUCUUGAACACACACCUAAGCGUGUGUCACCAAGAUUGAGUUUUAAACAUCAAUUGUUCUGCGAGGACAUCGACUGAUACAUGACACGGGGAAAUUGAUCUGCUGGUGCAUAAGGUAUGCGUACGACAUAAAUUGCAAGUUGAUCUUAGCUAGGCACCUGCUAUCGGCACGAACGUGCAUAAACCAUAUGCCCAUAUGGAUGUAUCAGAGUUGUGAUUGAGAUAGGCUGGGGACUCUUUUCCAAGAGUGCAUCUUUAUUAUACCUGAGUGUACGACAUAAAUUGCAAGUUGAUCUUAGCUAGGCACCUGCUAUCUGCACGAACGUGCAUAAACCAUAUGCCCAUAUGGAUGUAUCAGAGUUGUGAUUGAGAUAGGCUGGGGACUCUUU
Brachypodium distachyon (stiff brome) is the source of this 1538-nucleotide long non-coding RNA. RefSeq lists it as uncharacterized. The transcript has 2 exons. Lineage: Eukaryota; Viridiplantae; Streptophyta; Magnoliopsida; Poales; Poaceae. The record is from RefSeq and is a predicted model, not a curated record.